UAGUCCACGCCGUAAACGAUGAGAACUAGCUGUUGGGAUGAAGACAUCUUAGUGGCGAAGCUAACGCGAUAAGUUCUCCGCCUGGGGAGUACGGCCGCAAGGUUAAAACUCAAAGGAAUUGACGGGGGCCCGCACAAGCGGUGGAGCAUGCGGUUUAAUUCGAUGCAACGCGAAGAACCUUACCUACACUUGACAUCCUGUGAAUCUUUUAGAGAUAAGAGAGUGUCUUCGGGAGCACAGUGACAGGUGCUGCAUGGCUGUCGUCAGCUCGUGUCGCGAGAUGUUGGGUUAAGUCCCGUAACGAGCGCAACCCUUAUCCUUAGUUGCCAUCAGGUAAUGCUGGGCACUUUAAGGAGACUGCCGGUGAUAAACCGGAGGAAGGUGGGGACGAUGGUCAAGUCAUCAUGGGCCCUUACGUGUAGGGGCUACACGCGUGCUACAAUGGGUCGGUACAGA
Molecule: ribosomal RNA, 456 nt
Filed under: uncultured bacterium
Lineage: Bacteria
Description: bacterial SSU rRNA
Rfam family: Bacterial small subunit ribosomal RNA
Source: RNAcentral